Molecule: long non-coding RNA, 27158 nt
Organism: Panthera uncia (snow leopard)
Lineage: Eukaryota; Metazoa; Chordata; Mammalia; Carnivora; Felidae
Exons: 2
Source: RefSeq, a predicted model, not a curated record
CCCGUACGUGGGGGGAGCGGGUUGAAGGUUCGGGCAGGGAGCAACAGACACAGAGGUGGUGUGUCGGCGCGGCGGGGGAGUUGCUGUGUCCUCUCCUUCCCCGGCGGGGAGGCGGGGGUUGCGAGGGGAUCCUCGGGGAUCCGCGGGAGGGGGCGGGGCGGGCACACUCACGAGUGCCUAGCCCCCGCGGGCCGGGCUGAGUUCCAGCGUAGCCAGCUCGUCCCGGUGCCGGGAAGGAGGUUAGGAAAGCGUGAGAAUGUGUGUGCGCGCGCGCCCUCGGGGUCGCGGGCUCGCAGGCGAGGCGGGGGCGGGGGGGGCAGCGGCGACCCCGAGUGGAGGUGGGUGUGGAGUCUGAUCCUGGUGGCGGGGGUAACGUUGUGUGGUGUGGGAUUGGCUGGAGCGUUGCUUGGGGAGAGGACGAGGUGGAAGUCCGCACACCUGGGGUGGUGGUGGAGGGAGUGCGGAGAGGGAGAGAGACCUCUGGAAACCCGAGUUUGUUCUUUAUACUCGGGUUGGAAGUACUGAAGAAUAAUGUCAUCUGUAGUUAGUUGGCGGGGUGGGGGUGGGAGCAUAAAGAGGGGGAAUGGAUGAGGAAGUGAGGAAAGAGGGAGGUACUAUGGACAGGGUUGGGUUCCCCAGAAGAAACUGAGUUAGAAUUAGUGUAGUCAGAUGAUACCAUACUGAGAGUUGUGUACGUUCAUUAAGAGUGUUGUAAGGAACUUGUAUGUCGGAGGUAGACUGACGCAUGGGUACAGAGUGUGUGAGAGUAUGUGAUGGGUGUCUGGGGUGGUGUGAAGGGAGCGACUGAUAAACAUUAUAGGAAGGGGAAGAUAGAUACAUUGCAACCAAGUACACGCUAGUGAGAGCAUAUUGAAUGGAAAGACACCAGCAGCCAGGAAGGUUCCUUGGAAGCAGAAUAGGAGCUUGGACAUAGAGGUAAAAGAGGAUCAAAAUUUUGAUGACAGAGAAAAACAAGGUGGUUAGAGUCUGAAAUUAAUUGGAGAGUUUCUACUUCUUAGAAAAGGGGAAGGAAGACCUUAAAACGGAUCCUUUUUGUCCUUUGGGAGCAGAACUAAGAAAGGCAGGCUAAUGGGAAGAUGUUUAAAAAAAUGGUUUCAUACCUUGUAGAAGAGGGACUUGGUUGGGAUAGAAGUCUGAAAUGAGCAGAAAAGUCGCUUUAGCUGUUUAGUGAAAAUAUUGUUGUGUGAUUGGCUUCCUAAACACAUAUUACAAGAGAAGGUAGGUAGUGAUACAGGAAGGUGGCUGUUGUACUUAUGAAAGUGGUAAUAGUUUCUUUAAGCAGAGUGUGGAAAGGAGAGAAUGAUGAGAUCUUUGAAUUGUGGUUGAAUGCCUGAGUUUAACAGAGACAGGGUGCGCACAAGUGUGCCCAAUGACUGACUUUGGGUAGUUGGAACGAUAUCUGUAAUAUUACAGUCCUUUUUCUCCACUAUUAUCCUUGUAUUAACAUGUCAGAUAAACUUAAUAAAUAUAACUGUGAGAAAGAUCUAUGGUAGAUGUUGUAGACGGAUGUGGAAACCAUCAGGACAGUACUUAAUUUUAAGGAAUUUGCAGUUAUUAUUAAUAAUAGCAUGGAGUAAAAUAAGGCAAGUAUCAUAAAAGAUGCCAGUGUCAUUAAGAGUUCAAAGGCACGAGAUUAUUUAAGCAAUUGGGGGGAACCAGGAAAACCUUCCUUUGUUCAUUUGCUCAUUCAUACACUCAUGAUUCAUCAGUCAUUUUGUUGAUCACCUAUAUGGGAGGUAUUGUACCAACUGCUGAGAAAAGAACUCCACCCUCUUCUUACAGAGUUUACAGUUUGUUAGGUUUCAAGGAGAAAAUGGAAAUGGACCUUAAGUAUAAGCAGUAUUCUGACAGGUGUGGACUGAGAACAGAAUCCAAACGGAAGGAAACUGAGCAGAAUACUCAGAUAAGGGAGGUUGGGAGCUGGGGAAGGUAUUCAGACUAAACAAGAAUAUAGGGUGAUGUAGCUGGAAAAACUUUUAAUAGACUUUUUUAUAGAUUAAGUUUGAUCCCUUCCUUUCACAAAUGAAGAAAGUAUAGAUAGCAUAAUGAAGUCAAAUUGUUGAGGACCAUAUAGCUGGAACGUGGAGGCUCUGUAACUCACAUGUAGGUCUUCUGACUCUGUAUCAGCCAUACUGUGUGACAUGUCUGGGUUUAUCCAUUCUUACCACAAAUAUGUAUUGAGAGCUUACUGUAUGCCAGUCACUCCUCUAGGCACUGAGGAUACAACGGUGAAUGAAAGAGUAAACAUAGGAAGGUAUAUUCUGGUAGAAUUAGGCAAUCAGUAAACAUGAACAGAUAACUAUGUCAGGUGGUGACAAGAACUAGAAGGAAAAAGCAAGAUACGGAUAUCUUCUUUUAUACAGACAGGGUGAUCAAGGAGAGCCUAUUUAAUAAGGUGCCUAUAUUUGAGAGGGUCUUGAAUUGUGAUCUGUAGUUAAUAGUUAAAAUGGAUGGAUCAUGGAGAAUCUGAGAUGAUUUGUUUAGAAGAGCAUUCACAUGCUCACAGAUAGGAUUAGGAAGAUGAAUCUGUGUAGUGUAAUAAUGGGCAGUUAGGACCAGAAAUAAGGCGGUAGAGUAGAAAGGUAAAAGCAGACUGGGAGAGAGGUGAUAAUUUUAAUGGGAAGAUCAGAUGGUGUUGAGAGGCUUCUCUGUUAAUGUGUUUUAUAUUUUGUAAAUUAUCAUGGUAGGGAAGACUUAUCUUUAGGUUGUGAAAUCCGUGGUAGACAACUUGAGAUGAGUUUAGUUCCUUGAAGAAGGGAGAAAAGAAUAAGAAGGAACACUGUUUGAAUAACUUAUAUUUUACCGCUAAAGUUGAAUAAGCAAAACUGAACAGGCACCAGUGUUUUCUCAGUCUUGCACGUCUGUUCUAAGUAAAUAAAGCAAAUCUUAGGGCUAACAGUUGUCUGGGACUUAGAGGGGAUAGGGUAAUAAAGACUUGGACCAGCCCAAAUUUCCCUCUCUUUUCUUCUUCUUCGGAUAAUCAUUCCAUUUAAAGUCUGCUGUGAGGCGGUUAGAGACUGUCUUCAGGGAAACAUCAUGUUCACUUUCUUUUCUUUGCUGGAAACCAAACCUUUUGGUUUUUAGACAACUUGGGGAGGAUGUUAGAUACUGCUGAACAAGUGUGGUUGGGGGUAUGACAGUUAUUCUUUGUGACCCUUGACUUUAGGGAGAAUUUUGUUGCCUACCUUUCUCAGUGGUAUAAGACCAUGACUGGGCAAUUUUUAAACUGCAUAGCUAUAGAUCUUUCCUCAUGGAGAUGAAAAUUAGCUUUGUAUCAGCUAGAUUCAUUUGUUGGAGUAAAUGAGCUGGGGUGUCUGGCAUUGAAAUGGUGCAUUGUUGGUGGCAAACCAGGGAGUAAGAUGGCAGUUUCAGAAGAGUGAGAUAGGAGGAUAUGAGGUUAAGAAGCAUCAGUAAGACGAAGAUAGAGAGUUCAAAAUCAAGGGGACUGAAUUAGUCUUGAGUUGCAGAAAUAGAGCAGAGAUGAUAGGAAAGAAAACCUAUCUUCUGUUUGGGAAAGAAGGUGAUGUUGUGAGGAAAUUUUUUUUGUUGUUGGAAGAGAAAUUUUUUUUUUUAAAGCAGUGUCAUUUUUUUUUUUUUUUUAAAUAGCAGAUUGACAAGAUUCCUAAGUGAAUAAAUUAAGAGUACUUUUCUGCAUUUUAUAAAAAUAAGAACCGGUCUUAAAAUAAGGUUCUACAAAGAAUAUGAUUGGAAAUUUAUUUCUCGAAGAAAAAUUCAGUCUUUUCUCUUGAUUUAUGGCAAAAUAGAAAGAUCUUAAAGACUUUGACACCUCUGUUGAGUGAAAGAAAAUGGAAUUUUGAAUAUUGUCCAUCUAAUAAGGGUGGAAGAAGGGUAAAGAUAAUCCAUGGAUGAGAUAGUAGGUGAUGUAGAUCAUGCUUUAAAAGAAUAGUAUUUUAAAGGAUAGAAAUACGGAAAUUAACAUAUCAAAAUUGGAAAUGCAGAGAUAGGGAAAGUGUUGAAGUACCAGACAGGGAAGACAUCAUCAAAGUUGUUUGGGAAGUCGAGAAAGUAGAAUAAUCAUAGCCAGAGGGAAUACCAGCCAAACAGGUCAAAUCCUAUUAUAAAAGGUGACAUAGGUGAUACUGAACAACAUCUGCUUCUGUCACUGUACUCCCUCCGCCUCUUCCUUUCCUUCCUUCUCUUCCUUGCCUAUUUUUGUCUUUUUUUUUUUUUUUUUUUCUUUCUAUGCUGUAGGUUUGCCAGGGAGAUCCACUUAAAGUUGAUCCCUGGUAUUAGACCACUUUACAAGAAACAUCUACAAAUUGUCUACUUUGUUAGAAUUAUUUUUUUUUUUUUUUUUUUUUGCAUGGUCCUUCUAUUAGCAAAGAGGCUGCAUUCCCCUGGCACACUUUGCCAGAAACUUUGUUGCCAGAGGUAGAAAUAAUGUAACAGACACAAGGUGGUUUUCUGAGAUAACAGAAAAAGUGUUGUCAUUUAAGUACUCAUUAAAAUUCAGGGGCACCUGCGUGGCUCAGUUGAUUGACCUUCGACUCCUGAUUUCAGCUCAGGUCAUGAUCUCAUGUUUUGGGAGUUCAAGCCCCACAUUGGGCUCUGGGCUGACAGUGUGGAGCCUGCUUGGGAUUUUCUCUCCGCCUCUCUCUCAAAAUGAAUAAAUAAAAUAAGUUAAAAAAUUUUAAGUACUAAUUAAAAUAAUCCAAUAUGUUAAGAUAAAAUGUAUCACGGUAAAUCUUGGGACAUAGGGAAAUAAAAAAGGUGGAGAUACAGGAGCAAGCAGAGCCUUAUCCUAGCCUGGGGAGAAGAGCAGGGAAGUUAGUGGGAGCAAUUUGGGAGGAAUAUGUGUACAAAGUAGGUUCUGGAAGAUUCUGGUAAUUCUGGGCUGGGUAUUCACUGUCUCUGGAAGCUUCAAGAAAUCCUAUAGCACAUGCUGAUCCUAAUUCACAUGGUCAACAAGUCUUCCCCUGCCCCAGACCCAUUCAUGUUUUCCCUGCAUGUGAUUUAAAAUAAAAUAGCUCUGGUCCCAGAAAAUCAGCCAAAUUUACCAGCCAAAAACAUGGCUGAUUUACCAAACAUGGUAAAAUGGUUGUAAAAAAAUUGCUCUCUCUUGAGGCUUAUAACUGUCUUUUUUAUUACAAUGGUGUUAAUGGCAUUUUACCUGCUUGAAUGUUGAGUGGCUAAAUUGUUUUGACAGUUAAUUUCUGCUUCCCUUGCGGUUUCAGUUGGAUUCAAAAUGUAUACUUCCUGUCCUAGACUAUGUUUCAUUGCUUUCUAACAGCUGCUAUGUUCUACCUUCAUGGAAGACGAAGCAAUUGCUGAGUUUUUGUUUUGUUUGUCUUUUAAGAUGCUGUUCACUAGUGUAGCAAGUUUCUCUUGAGGCAGUUUUGGGGUGGAGGGUGGUUCAGACUUUAAAAGGGCUGGUUUGUUUUACAGUGGAGAAAUAUUGUUUGCAGCCUCCAACUACGUGUCUAACCCUGGCUAGCAUGGAUUAGAGAUGAGUGAUGUGAAUGAGCACCUGAAAAUUCAGGUGGGUUUGUUUUCCUGAUUGAUCUUGUUCAGAGAAUAGAUUAUUAAGCAUAUGUGUUUUGGAUAGUCGAUUAGUCAUAUAUCUGUAUGUGGGUAUUUUGGCAGAUGGUCAUACGUUGUCAUUUAAGUUUUGUAAUCAAGCUGCAUUUUAGUUGUUGAAUUGUUGUGGAUAGAUUUAUCGAUGGUCUAGGAGAUUGUAACUAAGGGGGGCUAAUCAGCAGUUACAGGGAUAUGCAGGGAUGGAGCUUUGGCAAACAUGUCCCAUGGUAAGUGAGAACUUGUAACCAACUCCUUUCUUGUUAACAUGUAAGUGGAGCUCCUUAGGAGGGUUGUUUUCACUGUCCCUUAGACCCAUUUUGUAGUCAGUGGGAAGAGUAGAUGUUUAAGAAAUUGUUUAAGAAAAUUUUAGGAGUCUCAAGUAGACUAGACUACUAGUAGACUAGUAACAAUUUUUAGUUUUCUUCUUUGCUUCAUUUGGAACAGGUUUCCUAACCAUGGCACUUCACAGACAUUUUGGGUCAGACAAUUCUUUGUUGUGGGGAUUAGUCCUCUGCAUCAUAGGUUGUUUCAUAGCAUACUUGGCCUUUACCCACUGGAUCCCAGUAUCAUUCGCCCCCAUUUGUGACAACCGGAAAUGUUCCCACACGUUGUCAGAUGUUCCCUCUGAGUGCAUAUUCUCUCCCAGCUGAGAACCACUGAUUUAGAAAAUACACAUAGGAGGGAUAUAUCAAAUAUGCACAGCAUCAAUUCAUUUUCUUGUUUUCUCCUUCUUCAAGCCAUAGAUUACUUCUUAGGCUUCCCUGAACUUUUUUCUUUUAGGUGUAAUAGGCCAGUUACCAUGUUUAAACCAUACUUUUAAAAACUUGUACAUAUUGGGUGCCUGGGUGGCUCAGUUGGUUAAGCAUCCGACUUUGCUCACGUCUUGAUCUCAUGGUUUGUGGGUUCUGGCCCUGCAUUGGGCUCAUGCUGACAGUGCAGAGCCUGCUUGGGUUUCUCUCUGCCCUUCUCCUCCCUCCCUCUCUCUGCCCCUCUCCGACUCAUUCUUUCUUUCUCUCAAAAUAAAAACACUUGUACUUACUUUAAAUGUAUUUUUAAAGUCUUUUAUUUUAUUGGCAGAGCACAAUUAUAGGAGCUUUGCCUGUGGGAACUCAAAGAUACUGGAAAAAGGCAUUUAAGUAACUAUAAUAGCAGAUAAACUGCAAAGUGCUAGGAUGGAGAAAGAGGUACUGUGCAAUUAAGUAUAGGGGAGAACUUUAUUCCAGCAGAGGUGGAGGUGGGGUCAGGAAGCUAUCUUGGAGAUGAGAUUUGAUCUAGGUUUUGAAAGAUGGAUGAGACUUUUAAAAGUUGAUAUUAGGAAAAUUGACAUUUCAGGCAGGAGGAACAUCUCAUAGUUUCUUUACUCCAAAUAAUUUUUAAUUAUUUAUUUAUUUAUUUUGAGAGAGAGGGUGAGCAUGAGUAAAGGAGGGGCAGAGAGAGAUGGAUAGAAAAUCUCAAGCAGGCUCUGCAGGGUCAAUGCAGAGCCUGGCAUGAGGCUUGAUCUCAUGAAUCAUGAGAUCGUGACCUGAGCCAAAGUCAGAUGCUUAACCGACUGAGCCACCCAGGCUCCCUUUCUUUCUCACUUAAUACUGACAAUUUUGUUGCCGUUUUUCUCUGUCUCUCUGUGUCCCUCUCGUACACAUCCAUCCAUCCCUCCCACAAGUAAACAUCCAGUUUUUGGCCAAGGUAGAUACCCCAGGUCCUGGGAGAUAAAGAGAGAAUCUGUUGUCAAGUAAUUUUACCAGGCCCACAACUAUCACAUAGUUCAUAGAUGCUAUGAUAUAUACACAGGGGCCCUAUGGAAAGUUCUUGGAAGUCUGUUGUUAGCACUGGGAUUCUAUGAUUCUGAAUAUCUUGCCUUUUAUUUUAUUUUGUUUUCCUGGUCAACCUUGCCCAAUCAGUGGCAAAAAGAAAUGGCAUAGCCCUAUUCCUCUUUUUUUCUCUUCUUUCAACAUUUCUUUUCUGCAGAUACCACAUCCACUCCUGUUACCACAUCAUCAUUAUUUAAAAUCUGUUUAGUAUAAAUAAUUCUGUUAGAUCCUAGGGAGGCACACUGGUAUAAGAUAUCAUGUCUACCAUUCAGAGAGUUUAUAAGCUAUUUAAUGAAAUAAGCAUAAGCAUAAAAUAAUACAAUAAUACAAUAAUAACAAAGUACAGUUGAGUAUAGUAGUUUGGAGCAUGGUCUGUGGGGCAGAACUGUUUGGAUUCAGAUCAACAGCUCUACCACUUACAGACUGCAUUACCUUGGACAAGAUCCUUAAGCUUUCUGUGCCUCGGGUUCCAGAUCUGAAAAAUGGUGAUAGUAAUAGUAUUUAUCUCAUAAAGUUAUAAAGAUCAAGUGAGUUAACUGGCAAAGUACUUGGUAUGGUUCAGGCGCAUAGGAAACACUAUGUAAGCUUUAGCUGUGGAUAACAAUGCCUGAAAACUUAAUCUGAUAAUUUUGCAUCUCUGCCUUCUGGACAUUCCUCAUUUUAGAAGUCUUUCUGUCAUAGCGAACUCCACUCUCUUAAAGGUAAACUCGUAACCCUUACCCUUCUCUUCUCACCAUGUCCUGCGUGUUUCCUCAUUUUCGGCAUUAGUGCUCCCACUUUGCAUCCUCCCAUCAGGUUUAAAAUCUUGCAGUCAUGUUUCAGUUCUCCAGUGUUCCACACAUAAACUGCUCUGGGAAAUGUUGUCUUCCUGCUGUCUCUUCUUUUUAUGUCUGGCACUGUCGACUUUAUGCACGUACUGUUGAAAUAGUCUUCCAACUGAUACCUUGCCUGCAAUUCUCGCAGGUAGCGAAAAGAAAGCACUGACUUUGGGUUUUUAAACAUUGUCCACUCACAUCUCUGAGUCUUGAUUUCUUUCUCAUUAAAAUGGGAUACUGAUCUCAUAAAAUUGCUGUCAGUGUUAAAAUAAUGAAAGUUUAUACAUGUUUGGCAGAUUCUGGUUCUCUUUCACAUUCCUCGCCUGUCCCCCCUAAUCUAUUGCACUGCUUUUAUAUUAGUAUUCCUGCAAAGCAUUUGUAUGUUGCUUUUCCUUACUUAAGCUCCUUAGUCUGGCAUUCUGGGUCUUCCAUAAAAUGGCCCUCAUCUACCUCUGCCAAAUGAUAUCUUGUUAUGUUUUCCUAAGAACCAACUAUGCUAGCCAGAGUAAUCUACUCAUUGGCUUCUAAAGAUGGUUUAUCUAUUCCUGCUUUAAUCUCUUUUCCUAGGCCAUUUUCCCGGUAGAAAGUACCGUCCUGUACUAUCUUAACUUAAGCUUCAUCUUCUCUGAAGACUUCUGUGUUCUGGUGAUUUCUGCAUUCUUGAACUUUGUAGUAUUUCCUGUCUCUUAGUCAUUUGGUAUGUAUAAUUUCUUAAAUUUCUAAUUAUCUCUUUUUUAAUAGAAAUGAAUUAUCUUUGCAGCUAGACUAUGACAGAGACCAUGUCUCAGCAUUAAAAAAAAUUUUUUUUUCAAUAUUUAUUUUUGAGAGAAAGAGAGUGUGAAUGGGAAAGAGGCAGAAAGAGAGAGGAAGACACAGAAUCUGAAGCAGGCUUCAGGCUCUGAGUUGUCAGCACAGAGCCUGACAUGGGGCUCAAACCCACGACAUGUGAGAUCAUGACCUGAGCUGAAGUCGGAUGCUUAACUGACUGAGCCACCCAGGAGCCCCAUGUCUCAACAUUUUUAAGUACACAGUGUACCAUAAUGGGUGUUCAAUAAGGUUUUCAUGCUUUCUUGUUUUUGCCAAACAUUUAUGGAAUACUUACAAAUGCCAGUGCUAGGCUCUGAGAAUGAAGAACGAAUGAACUGGUUUUUGUUCCUUAGGAUAAUUGUUUCCUGGAGGAGAUGGGUGUUACACAGAUACUUCAAUAUAGUGUGGUAAAUUCUAUGUUAGAUGUUUUCAAGGGUGCUAGAGUACACUGAGGAACUUUUAUUGCCUGGGGAGUUAAGAGAAAGCUUCCAGAGUUGAAUCUCUGAGCUCAGUCUUAAAGGAUGAGUAGGAUUAAUGAGGUGAAGAGAGAAGGGAAGGAUAUAGCGGGCAGAGGAACAAAAUGAGUAAAUAAAUGCCUGGGAGCAGUAUGUUUGAGGAACUCUAAAAAGUUUGGUAUUAGGAAUGUUUGAGAGUUUGGUUGAUGUACAUAUCGUGAUCAGAUUAGACUGCCACUCAGGGUAUGGUGUAGAAGUUAAAGAGAUUUUUAUUAACCCUGUCUCAUUCAGCUUUUUUGUUUGGGAGUCUAAGGUUCUUUUUUCAACAAAUUUGGUCAUUAAUCUUAUGGGAAUAAUUAGUUAAAAAUUAGUUAUUUGGAGUUAUUCGCAAAAAUUAGUUUUUUGGAGUUUUGUAGGAGAUGAGAGUUUUAGUGAAUAUAUGUAAUUCUGAAAAUAACUGGGUUGCUAGGACUUGCUUUCUAGAAUCUUCACGUCUUGAAUCUAGACAUGGAAUAGAGGUGGAGGUGAGGGAAGAAAGACUGUUAGGGGGGGAAACAAAACAUUAGAGACCAUUUUUUGAUGAUUAACAUUUUAUUCUCACGGUUUAGGCUGGCAUUUUUCUUUCUGUAGUGUCUUAAGUGAGAAGCAGGAUUCUAAAAUCUAUUAUAUGUAAAAAGCUGCUAUAUUUAAUGUGUUAAUAUCCUCAGUUUAUUUCCUAAAACUCCAUGGGUUUACUGAACACAUAAGUUGAAUGCUUUUUCAUUCCCUUCUUUUCCCAGAAGCCUAGUAUUUCAGUGCUGUUAGUUGGGAUAGAGCGAAUUAGAAUGUGUUUUAUUAGUACUGUCUCUUAGAAAGGUCAUGAAUCAUUGCCUAGUUUUUUAUUAGGUGAGAUACUGUGCAUUGAUGAGAUAUAGGUAGAAAGAUAAUCAAAGUAAAAUGCAAUUGGAAGAUGAUAUUCAAAGAAGAAAUGAGUUAAAGUGUUUGCUUACUUGGGGCAACUGGGUGGGUCAAGUCAGUUAAGCAUCCGGCUUUGGCUCUCAGGUCAUGAUCUCGCAGUUAGUGAGUUUGAGCCUCACGUGGGGCUCUGCGUGGGGCUCUGCGUGGGGCUCUGCAUCGGGCUCUGUGCUGAUAGCUUGGAGCCUGGAGCCUACUUUGGGUUCUGGGUCUCCCUCUCUCUUUGCCCCUUCCCUGCUCACACUCACUCUCUCAAAAAUAUUUAAUUAAAAAAAAAAAAAAAAAGGUUUGCUUCCUUGAAAAAAAUAUUUUUAAUGUUUAUUUUUGAGAGGGGAGAGGGGAAGAGAGAGAGAGGGAGACAGAAGAUCUGAAGCAGACUGUGCCGACAGCAGCAAGCCCAUCAUGGGGCUUAAACUCAUGAAUCAUGAGAUUGUGACUUGAGCCGAAGUCGGACACUCAACUGAGACUCAGACACCCAGGUACCCCUUACUUGACAAUUUUUUUAUUGCUGGUGGGAAAAAAUAAAAAGCAUCGUGUUCAGAGAACCACUAUAGGAUGAAUUUGAAUAUAAAAAGGGCAUCUACAAAAUUUUGUGCAUGUGCAUACUUAUAGUUUGUGUAAGAUAUUUUAUUUAUUUUAUUUUUUAAUGUUUAUUUAUUUUGAGAGCACGAGAAAGCACAAGUGGGAGAGGGACAGAGAGAGAGAGAGAGAGAGAGGAGAGAGAGAGAAUCCCAAGCAGGUUCUGUGCUCUCAGCACAGAGCCUGAUGUAGGGCUCAAACUCAGGAAACUGUGAGAUCAUGACCUGAGGCGAGAUCAAGAGUGGACGCUUAAUCACCUGUGCCACCCAGGCACCCCUAGUUUGUGUGAGAUAUUUUAAAGCAAAAUUUUUGUAUUUUAAUAUCUAACUUCUGUAAAAUACGUUUUUCUCAAACUCUGCUUAUUUUAAAUAAUUAAAAUAAUACUAUUUGCCUGAAAUACUUUUGUUUUUUUGUUUAAUAUUAAUUAUUUAUUUUGAGAGAGAGGGAGAGAGAUGCGGGGGCUCAAUCUCAUGACCUUAGCCAAUACCAAGAGUCAGACGCUCAAGUGACUGAGCCACCCAGGCACCUCUGCUUUGAUUUGUUUUUUAAUGGAAAAGGGUCAGAACAUUUUAAGAAGGAAGCAUAACUCAAAUGUUAAGGCAUACUGGUCAUAAAUUCUGGUUUAUAAUAGGAAAGGAAAAUAAAAUGUGAAUAGAUUAAUUAAAAAAAUUUAUUGCUUAGGUUGUUUGUAACUCCUACUCAAGGGUCUUUUGGUUUCCUAAGAAAGCGGGGUGGUGUAGGAAGUUGAAUGAGCAAGGCCUUUGGAUUAAGACUGGCCCAAUUUGUGUUUAGAUUGUCCUGAGUUCAGAUGCCAGCUCUGCUGUGCAUGGCAAUGUAACCUUGAACCUCUCUAGUUUUAGUUUUCCAUUUUGUAUUUUCCUUUCUAUAAAAUGACAAUGAUAGAAUUCUUGGGAGAAUUACAUGAGAAGAUGUGUAUAUAAAACAACAUAGUAAAGAGCCAUUUAGGCUCUUUGUGCCUUAAAUGGCUAUAGAGUGGGUUGAGUGAUCUUUUACUCUGAAGUGGGCUACUUUAUUCCUCAAGGGUACUGUCUUACAUUUUAUUAGUCCUUUAUACUUCUCAAAAUACUUUUAUAUAAUUAUCUUCUUAAGCCUUUGUGUACAGUAACUUUGUAUAAUUCAAUUGGCAUAUUGUAGAGAAGGAAAACAGGACUUAUGUUACCUAAUUAGUGGCAGAGUUGCAGUUGGCCUAGUCUGCUUCCUCUUUGUCCACUGCACAUACUUGGGCAGUGCUCUUAAAAAUGAAAAGUUUCCCUUUUGGUAUCUGUGUUUGCCAUUAAUGCUGUCAAAUGUUGUAUGUAAUUUAGAUGGCUCACAACUAUUGAGUUGCAAAUUCAUAUAUUAAAAAGCAUAUUUCUUAAGUUACUUUAAUUUUUUAAAAUUUCAAGUGCUAAUAUAGAUGUGAUUUUUGCCACUUUUGGCAUCCAGAAAAGCAAUACAUACUUGUUUGAAAUAGAACAUAACAAACCCCAGAAAAUUGUAAGAGUGAUCAUAAUGAUCAUGCAAGAGAGUGCAAAUCAAAUCUGGGACAAUAGGCAUAAAUCUGGACUGUUCCAGGCACACAGAAAUUUAUGGUUUCUCUACCAUCCAGGGUUGUGUCACUUUCCAGUUAUUUUUUUAUGUGGAUAGUAACAUAUUCACAUACUUGUAUAUUUGUACACAUGCAUAUUCUUUAAUAACUGAGAUUGGGCUAUAUCAUCUGGGUUUGUAAUCUGGCUUUUUUUCACUUAACAUUUUAUUAAAGACAUGUUUAUAAUUAUAUAUUUACAGCAUCAUUGGAAACAUCAGCAUACUGUUUUGUAUGGAAAUACCAUAGUUUUCUAAACUGAUUUCCUAACUGAAGAUUUGUGUUAUUUCCAAUAUUUUAUUAUUUUAAAAAGUGCUACAGUGAACAUCCUUGUACACCCAUAUCCUUGUGUACACUUAUGCCAUCCUGAGUGACAGGGUGUGCCCAUUUAAAAAUACUUUAUUAGGUAUAGUGGGCAGAAUAGCACCCCUAACUCCCUACAAUAUGUCUACAUCCUUAUCCCCGGAACCUGUAAAUAUAUUCUGUUACUUGGCAAGGGGGAAUUAAGUUGCUAAUCAGCUAAGUUUAAAAAUGAAGAGAUUAUCAUGGUUUAUUUGGUAGGACCAAUGUAAUCACAAGGAUCUUUUAAGUAUGGAAGAAGGAGAUAGAAAAUAGAGAUAGCAUUCUGCUGGAAUGGAAGGGGUCACAAGCCAAGGAAUACAGGCAGCUUGAGAACCAGGUAAAGGCAGAAUCAUAGAGCCUCCAGAAAGCAACACAGCUGUGCUUGAUUGACACCUUGGUUUUUAGCUUACUUGGACCCACUUAGGCUUCUGACUUUCAGACCUGUAAGAUGUUUUGUGUCAUUUUAAACCCACCACAUUUGUGGUAAUCUGUUACAGCAACAAAAGGGAACUCGUAAUACAUAGUACAUCCUCACCAGUACUGAAGGUCUCAUGCAUCUCACUUUUUUUUUUUUUAAACAGACUCUUUGAUGUAUUUAUUUGUAUUACACAAGGGCAAAUCUGUCCAAUCUUCUAUUGUUUCCAGAGUGUAUUCCACUGAACAUGAAUUCUCUGGGAACUUCAUAGGUAUUAGGAUUCUCAAUAUUUCCAAGGCAAAAUAAAUUUAGAAAUAUUGGGUUACACUGGGUUCUUUAUAUGGAAAAUGGUUAUCUCAUGGGAUUUACUUUAUUGAUGCGUUACUUUCCUUUUAAAAGUAGCACUGUGAGGGGCGCCAGGGUGGCUCUGUUGGUUAAGUGUCCGAUUUCGGCUUAGGUCAUGAUCUUGCGGUCUGUGAGUUCGAGCCCUGCAUCGGGCUCUGCUGACAGCUCAGAUCCUGGAGCCUGCUUCAGAUUCUGUGUCUUCCUCUCUCUGCCCCUUCCCCACUCAUGCUGAGUCUCUCUGUCAAAAAUAAAUAAAAACUUAAAAAAAAAAUAGGUGCUUUUUUUGAUAAGAGGGGAGUUACUUUUCUUUGGGUUUAGACCCAGAUGUGGACGUAAUUUCUUUCUUUUAUGUUAAUUAGUUUACAUCCCCACUUUCCCAAGUGAGGUAAGAUGAAAAUGAGAGAACAGUUUAGAAGCUAGGAAUUGCAGCCGGGCCGAGCCCUGUAAAGUGUGCUUGAAAGGGAGACGGUGUGAUACCAAACUAAUAAAAUACCUUUCAAGUUUUCUGCUCUUCUAGUCGUUACCUCCACUGUUUCUUCACAUGUGAAAUGAUAGUCUUUCCACUAUUUGUGGCAACUGGUAUGAAGCUACAAGUGAUGACAGCACUCAAAACCACGAGUAAUUUUCUCUCAUUUUUAAUGCUAACAGGGAAUUGCUUUCUUUUGUGUGAGGAUUUACUUGGUUUUGUGUUGUAUUUGGGAGAUGUUCUGAUUUUUGUGGCCAUACAAGUAUACCCUUUAAUAUAAAUCUUUGUGAAACUUUGAUAGGGAGUCUUGAGUUAAUAUCCUUUAUUUUAAAUUGUUUUGGUAUGUUAUUAUUUUGUUAAGAAUGUUUUUAGGAAUCAUUUGAUCUGUUUAUUGUUUGAAUGGCUUCUUAAUAUUUAUGCUCUCGACCCUCUGCCACAUGGGUCCUCGAUGAGCUUUCAGUCACCUGUAACUUGGCAGUGCUAACAUAACUUUUUCGCUUUUUUCAGUUCUGACAUGGAAGCUUGCGUAGAGUAGCCAUGAGGUGUGGUAACUUACGGAGAAAGGCCGCUGGUUUGUGCAUUUGACAUGAUUAAUAAGACUAAGCCAACAAUUUUAUUUUGUGCCAGACACUAUUCUAAACAUUGUGUAUUAACUGGACCCUCACAGUACCCUGUGAGAGGUAUACUACUGACUUCAUUUUAUAGAAGAGCAGAGAAGCAGAAUAGUUAGCCCAAGGCUGAGCCAGGAGUCAGGCUCCGGAAUCAGUGCUUUAACCAUGCAUCGUAUGGACUAUACCUCUAUAGUUUUAUGUUGUUACUUGCUUAGGAUUGUAGGAUUUUGUUUUUAUUUUAUUUUUGUUUUAUUUAUAUAUUUAUUAUUAGGUAAUAUACGGUAAAACCUUGGUUUGCAAGCAUAAUUUAUUCUGGAAACAUGCUUGUAAUCCAGAGCACUUUUAUAUCAAAGCUAAUUUCCUCAUAAGAAAUAAUAGAAACUGAGAUGAUUUGUUCCACAGCCCAAAAAUAUUCAUAUAAAAAUCAUUACAAUACUGUAAUAUAAUACAAGAUAAUAAAGAAAAUACAAAAUAUAAAGAAAAAUAAAUUAACCUGGACUUAACCUUUGAAAACCUUCAUGGCUGGUGUGAGGGAGACAAGAGAGAGGAGGGUCAUUGUGUAAUGACUUUCACUAUCACUAACGGAAUUGCUACUAUUUGUUGGCUCAGUGUAAUCUUUUUCUUUUCAUGCAACUUUAACAAGGAACCUAUCCAGUGAACCUUUUGCCUCCUUUUGAGGAUUUUGCAGAAAUGUGACAUUGCAUUGUUGUUAAACAGAUUCAUCACUCACACUGCUACAGCCUUAUUCAGGUGGUGCUUUUCUACAAAAUUUUGCACUGUUUCCCAUAUUUUACACAUCUCCCCAAUCUCAUUUGAAGUGAGGGAUUCCUCUGCCUUUUGCUUCUUCUCUUCUGCAGACGAGAUGCAGACGUAGACUUCUUAUAAAAUCUUGUAAUUUUGGCCACUCGUAUACCUCAUUCAUACUUCUUGAUGAUUUGCUCCUUCCCUCGUAAUAUCUUCUUACCCCCCUUCUUUUCAACGGGGGGGUUACCCCCCUUUUUCUGCGGGGGGGGGGCAUUGUAUACGCUCAUGGAUGUUGACUACAGUGCAGUAUUAAUAAACUCUUGUCAUUUACUGUAUUGAAUGUAACUGGCAAUAAGGCAGCAGAGGAAAGGGUCUCUAUCUGCAGGCAGCCUGACCUGGGAAGAAGCAAAGCAUUCCUAAGCUUAUUCUUGUCUGGAAAAGCAAAGGACUGUCCAGAGGCGCUUCAAAGUGACAAAAAAUACGCUCGUGCCAGUGGUGGGCAUCUUCCAACGUUCUGAGAAAUCAAUGAUUUCUGCCAAACACCACAGCCUGAGACUAAGCAUCUGAACAUGAGAGACGAUCACCCACAAUCCCACAGUGAGCGAACAAGAGAGAGAGAGAGAGAGAGGAACCAUUGGCUCAUUGUGAUCAUGUGACAUUUGGCAUCACGUACUACUUGUAUUGCAAGACAUAGCUCGUUUAUCGUUUAUCAAGUUAAAAUUUAUUAGAAAUGGUUGCUCGUCUUGCAAAACACAGAACACGCUACUCGUAAUCCAAGGUUUUACUGCAUUUGUAUAAAACAUUUAAUAUGCACAAGUAUAUUGUAUAUGUAGUAUAUACAAUAUGAACAGACUUCUCAAUCUCAACCUUCCUAGUGCAUUUAUUUUUUGUAGAGUAAUAAGGGAGAGGGCAGGGUAGUUCUGCCAGAAGGGAAGCAGAACGGGGAGACCUUUUAUAUUUGUAAUAGAUGAAUUUAGACUGCUUUGAACUCUUACUGACUAGUUGGCCUGCUGUUUUCUCAUAGCUGUUCUUCUUACAGUCUCUGCCUUCAGUGUUUACUUAAAUGCAGUGUAUUUCCCAGGACCUUUGGGAAUAUUGAGAACCAGAGACUGUGGGUAAAAACACUCCUGACCCACCUGGGCUAAUAGGACAAGUGCAGAAUGACUUUCCAGUGUUUUUGUUUUUUAACGUUUAUUCACUUUUUUGAGAGAGACAGAGUGUGAGCAGGGUGGGGGCAGAGAGAAGGAGGCACAGAAUCCAAAGCAGGCUCCAAGCUCCAAGCUGUCAGCACAGAGCCCAACAUGGGGCUCAAACUCAGGAACCGUGAGAUUAUGACCUGAGCCAAAGUCGGACGCUCAACCAGCUGAGCCACCCAGGCACCCCAAUGACUUGCCAGUGUUGUAACGUAAGUACAGAAGAUUGGGAUUUCCUUUUCCUUAUUGUCUUGGUUGAUUUAUUACACAGAAGUGUUCAGGUGUCAGCUUCUGACACUAAGGAACAUGAUUUUACAUGUAUGAAAUUCAAAUCUUAAAUAAUAAGUUGCUUCAAAAGGAAAAUUCAGUGUGACUUUUUAAAAGUAACAAAUUACUAAAGCUUACAUAUGUGGCCUGACAUCUUUGAAUUUACCAUUUUCCUGCUUAAACACGUAGUCAGCUGAGACUGAAAGAGUAAGACUGUGUUUUUAACUCUAGAAAAGGGACAACCUUCCUCUACUUAUCUCACAGGCUUAACUUUUUUCAUGUGACUUCACAUUGUCCUUGAAAAGUUCCUUCUUCCAGAAAGUCUUUCUUUGAAUCAUCUUAGAUUUUGUCAGGUGAAUGAGCAGAUGUUUCUCUUUAUUCUCGGUACUCUUUCAUUGGUUACAUCACUUUGUGUCUGUUCACUGUUUUGUUCCAUGUUAGCCUUGGAAGGGAGGCCUUUCUCGAUUAUCUUGGUACAACUUAGAGCAAUACUGACAAUCAGUAAAUGUUGACCAGUAGUGUGUGAGCUCAUACUGCAAACAUUUUGAAAUGUAUUAAUUUCUCAGAAUGGCUGAUAUUUGUUUUCAAGAGAUGCUCAAGUCUGAAUCAUUAGUAUCAUUCUCCAUUGUGAUAUAAACAAAACUAAGCAUACUUAGACAAUGAAAAGAAGCAAAAACUUUGUCAUUGUCUUUUUAAGAAAUGCUAAUAGAUUAUAUAGGUUUAAAGAUGGGAGACUUAGGGGAAUAUAUCAGUUAUGUGAGCAAGAGAAACAACCUGGCUCAUUUAAGCAUGAAAGAGUUAGAGACGUAGGUUCAACAGCUGCUGUGACACGUUACCACGAACUUGGUGAUUUAAAACAACACAAAUUAUUAUCUUACAGUUCUAGAGAUCAGAAGUUUGAAAUGGGCUCCACUAGGCUAAAAUCUAGGUGUCUUUCCUUCUGGAGGUUAUAGAGGAAAAUCCAUUUCCUUGCCUUUUCUAGGUUUUGAGGCUGCUCACAUUCUUUGGCUCAUGGCCCCCUUCCAUCUUCAAAACCAGUAAUCCUAUCACUGUACCCUUUGCUUCCUUUAUCGCAUCACUUCUGACCCUCCUGCUGCUUCUUUUACUUGUAAGAAUCCUUGUGAUUAUACUGGACGUAACCAGUUAAUCCAGAAUAAUCUCUUCUCAAAACCCUUAAUCACCUCUGACUUACGUAAGUCCCUUGUACAAUAAUGUAAGGGAACAUAUUCACAGGUUGUGGGGAUUAGGAUAUGGGCAUUUUGGAGAGGCCACAGUUGUUGUAUAGCCUGGAGUAUACAACCUUAAAUUCAGCCUGUGAAGACACUCCUGUGCAGGACUUUGUCUCCAUAACUUCUGUCCCUGACCCAUGCCUGACAUGCUGGACCACUCAUACUGGGAUUUUCAUUUCCAUUUCAUUCUCUCACCUGCUUAUCAGAAAUUGCUGUCAGAUAUACCUUUGCCUUUUGAAUGGUGACAUGGAGGAAGGUAGGCAGGUUUUGAGGUUUUCCUCUUUCACUCCAGUAGGUUAAUCAAUAAUGUAUUGAUAAAUGCCUGUGCUGUCCAGAAUGGUAGCUACUAGGAAAAUGUAGCUGUUUAAAUUAAUUUUAUUUAAAUGAGUCAUAGUAACCACAUGUCAAAUGUUCAUGUAGUUAGUGGCUACUGAAUUAGACAGCCCACGUCUAUCCCGGUGGUGUUGCAUGUUUAUUGUUUUGAGAGUCAGUCAGGAAAAAUGAAAUGUUUAAUAAGCUCUUUUUUAAAAUACCCCUGAUAUGGUUUUCCUUUUCAUAUAAUGCUUUAUCUGAGUUCAUAGCAUCCAUUCAUUCACAUGUAUUAUAUGUUCACUGAUAAAGCAAACUUUGCAAAAUACGCAUAAUUAACUCUAACUAUAGUUAGAAACUCUAUAGUUUCAUAUAGGAAAUUGAAGCCCAGAGAGACCAAAAGGUCAAGCAGCAGAAUUAGAAGGGGCUUGUAUUACUUAAUUCUACUCAAUGCAAUUUAAAGUGCCUCAGGUGCUGAGUAGGAUACUAAAAAGGCUAGCUGUUCUGCCCUGGUCUGGGCCUUAUUCUCUGGUUCUUGUUGAAUUUCUCAACUUGGGCUGGGCAAGGGAGGGCAAAUGGAACAAUGUGGAAAAGGGGCCUCACACUCCUAGGAAUGGAUCUAGCUUUUCCCAGGGAGUCUUCCUGAGACUGAUCCCCAGUCAGUUUCAGGAUGUAAUGCCGCUAGAUGAUACACGGGUUUGCUUUUUGUCUCCUCCCACAAUCCCUAAUCCAUAAAUUCCUUGAUAGCAGGAACCUUAUGUACUUCAUUGCUAUAUCCCAGGUCCUAGAACAGUGUCUAAGUAGGUCUGAAAUAUUAAGAAAUUAAUAGUACGAAUUCUGUUCUACAGCUGCUUCUAUGAGUAAGCAAAGUGGUCCAUCUGGAGGAUUUUUUUCCUAGCUAAAAUCUUAAUAGUUUCAGGAGUUAAAAGUCUUUUGUAAUUUCUCUUUCAUAUUGCUAAAAUAAUUGAUCCUUUCAUGAGUGGUUUGUACCUGCAUGGCCCAGUAUAGUAACUACUGGCCACCUAUGGUUAUUGAGCAUUUGAAAUGUGGCUGGUGUGACUGAGGAACUAUAUUGUAAUUAAGUUUAUUUAAUUAAUUUAAGUUUUAAGAAUUUAUACUUGAUUGAGUUGUCAGAACAAUUUGAGUAUGUAAAUCUACCUUUCAACAAUAAAUUUUAUGAAUUUAAAUACUGAUCAAAUAUUUCUGAUAAAGAAUUAGCUACUUAGUUGACAGAUGCUUUAAUUGUAAAAUAUCGACAACAUUUUGACAACUUAGCAUGAAAAGAAUUUGAAAUCUUUAAUAAUUUUUAUAUUGACUACAUGUUGAAAUGCUAAUGUUUUGGGUAUGUUAGGUUAAACAAAAUACAUUAUUUUCUUCUUUUUCUUUUUACUUAUUUUUUUAAGUAAAAAGAAAUAGGUUACAUAUGGUAAAUAUGUGACUCACAUUAUAUUUCCUUCUAUUGGCCAGUAGUAGUAUAGACCAUAAGGAGCUUCCAUCAAAGGAUUUUUACUGUUAAAAAAUUUCAUGUGUGAAAUCAUGUUUGUAACCUUGAGGUUUUUACUUAAUAUGUACUUUAAAAAUACACAAAUAGGGGCACCGGGGUGGCUCAUUCGGUUGGACAUCCAGCCUCUGCUCAGGCCAUGAUCUUGUGGUUCGUGAGUUCAAGCCCUGCACUGAGCUCUCUGCUGUCAGCGUGAAGCCUGCUCCCGAUCCUCUGUCCCCCUCUCAAUGCAACUUAAGCACUCUGCCCCACUUGAGCUCUCUCAAAAAUAAUAUUAAUUAAAAAAAAUAAAAGUACACAAAUAAUAUCUUAGUUAACUACAUUCAUUCAACAUAUUUAUUCAGGGAAGACUAGAUAAUAAAGCACUCUUCCAGGCAGUUUUGGGGUUAUAGUAUGAGUAACACUUUCAGAGAUUAAUUGAAGAAAUAACAAGUUAGGAUGUAGUAUGCAUGAUUAAGAGGUACAAAUCAGAGGGUUGACUUCACAAAAAUGUCUUAGAACGUUUUAUGAAGGGUAUAUCAUCUCCCGAAAAUAGGAAGACUUUUGUUAGGAACUGAAGAAGGAUAUUCCAGGUAGAGAAAAUACAGUGUUUAUUACUAAAAUAAAUAAACAAACAAACACAAGAAGAGUCAGAAGCAUCGGGAGCAUAGUUCAUGAAGGGGUAAGAGACAAGGUCAGAAUCUAAAUAGGGGCAUACUGACUGGCGGUGUACUUAGUUUGAGCUUUGUGGUUAAAUGGAAAUUGAUUUAGUGUUUUCAGUCUGGAAAUUGAUGUGUUUGAAAUUGUUUAGUAUCAUAUAUUUGGGAACUCUAUGCAAGUAAAGUCAUGGAAACCAUUUGAGGAAACUGCCAAAAUUCAUGUAGGAGAUAAUGAAAGUUUGAAUCAGGAUACUGAGAAAUACUUAGGAGAGAAUACAUGGUUGUAACCAAUGGGGCAUUAGUAACUGAUUACAUAUGAAGGGGGAGAGGGAAGGUCAUUGAUGAUAUUGAAGUUGGUUGUGGCGAAAUGGUAGCACUUUUCAUGGAAAUAGGUAAUAGAAGUAUGGGUGUUGAAGGGAGGGAGUAUUUAAUGAAUAUCCAUACAGAGAUGCCAAAUAGGCAAUUGGAAUGUAGACAUACCAUGAGCUGAGUUGGAAAUAAUUGAUUUUGUAGUUGUCUUCAAUAAGGUGACACUUGAAUCCACAAGCUGGGAAGGAAUGAUAGAGCUGUAUGGGUAUCAGGGUGAGAUCCUUAGGGAAGAGGUCCCAGAUGGUAACAGGGUCAAGUUCCAUUUUUUUUUUUUUUUUUUUCUUCCCCAUCCUUCCACCCACCUCCCCUCUGGUAACCAUCAAUUUGUUCUCUAUAGAUAAGAGUCUGUUUUUUGGUCUCUCUCCUUCUCUCUCUCUCUUUUAAGUAGGGUUCACACCCAGGGCAGAGCCCAACGCAGGUCUUGAAUGACCAUGAGAUGAAGACCUGACCUGUGAGGGGCGCCUGGGUGUCUCAGUUGGUUAAGCAUCUGGCUCUUGAUCUCAGCUCUGGUCAUGAUCUCAUCAUGGUUUGUGGGUUUGAGCCCUGCGUUGGGCUCUGUGCCAAUGGCUUGGAGCUUGCUUGGGAUUCUCUCUCCCUUUUUCUGUCCCUCCCCCACCUCUUUCUCUCCCUCCCCCACCUCUUUCUCUCCCUCCCCCUCCCUCUCUUUCUCAAAAUAAAUAAAUAAACCUUAGAAAAAAAAAAGACCUGAGUUGAGAUCAAGAGUUGGACUGUUAAUCAACUGAGCCACCCAGGCGUCUCCCUUUUUUUUCCUUUGGUUUGUCUCAUUUUUUCAUUUGUUUUGUUUCUCCUCCUCCUCCUCCUUCUUGUUAUUUAUUUUGAGAGAGAGAGAGCAAGCGCCUGCAAACAGCGUAGGGGCAGAGAGAGAUGGAAAGAGAAUCCCAAGCAGGUUCUGCACUAUCAGUGCAGAGCCUGAUGCUGGACUUCAACCCAUGAACUGUAAGAUCACACCACCUUUUGUUUUUCUUAAAUUCCACAUAAGAAUGGAAUCACUUGAUACUUGUUUUUCUCUGACUGACGUAUUUCAUUUAGCAGUAUAUUCUCUAGAUCCAUCCAUGUUUCAUUCUUUUUUAUGGCUGAGUAUUCCAUCAUAUAGUUUGUAUGUAUACGUAAUAUAUAUGUUACAUCUUCCUUCUCCAUUCAUCUAUCAUGGCUACUUGGGCUGUUUCCAUAAUUUGCCUAUUGUAAAUAAAGCUUCAGUAAACAUAGGGGUGUAUAUAUCUUUUUGAUUUAGUGUUUAAAUAUUUUUUGGGUAAAUAUUUUAUGGUAAUUCUAUUUUUAAUUUUUUGAGGAACAUCCAUACUGUCUUCUAGCAGCUGCACCAGUUUACAUUCCCACCAACAGUGCAUGAGAGUUCCUUUUUCUCCACAUACUCAUCAAUACUUACUGUUUCUUGUGUUUUUGAUUUUAGCCAUUCUGACAGUGUGAGGUGAUAUCUCAUGCUUUUGAUUUGCAUUUCCCUGAUGAUUAGGUGUUUCAUUCUUAAUGACUUUGCCACUCUAUAUAGGUGGAAGCAGAAAAAAGAAGCAAGAAAUGACAAGGGGUUGUUCUAAUGCAGUAGUUCUCAAAGUGUCGUCCUCAGACCAACAGCAUCAGCAUCACCAGGGAACUUAUUAGAAAUACAAAUUCUGUGUCCCAUCUCAGACCUGCUGAAUCAGAAACUGUGGGGCUUAAGUUUAGGUAUUAUUUUCAAAAGCAUUCAGAGAUUCUGAUGUAGGCUGAAGUUUGAAAAAAUGCAGAUGCACUAUAGUAUUGAGUACUAUUCAAGGAAGUAUGAGGACUUAGAAAAAGCUCUUAAUUGGGGCGCUUACUGUUAACUUGUGAGAAAGUUUGUAAUAUUAAAUUGCCACCAAUACUGUUCACGCUAUUUAGUCAUUUUUAUGAAUAUAGAGUGUGCAUUUUAUGUAAUGUGUAGGUAAUGUAUUUUAAUCAGAUUAUGAUCAUAAGGUGUAUGCUGUUUUAAAUCACAUUACUGGAGGUAAUCGAAAUAAAAUGCACUCAUUUUAAGUGUACAGUUAAUGAAGUUUUAUGAGCAUAUAUCCUCUAACCACUGCUCUAAUCAAGAUAUAGAACAUUUCCAAAUCCCCCCAAAAUUCUCUCAGACUCCUUUGCAGUCUGUCCUUACCCUUUUUGUCCCUCUGUGCCUCAGGCAAUCCUUGUUCUGAUUUGUAUCACUAUAAAUUAAUUUUGCUUGUUCUAGGACUUAAUAAGUGGAAUAAUACAGUAUGUACUAUUUGUGUCUGAAAUCUUUUGCUUGACAUAAUAUUUUUUAAAUCAGUCCACUUUGUUGCAUGCAUCACUAGUUGUGUUCUGGUUGCUGCUGAGUAAUAUUCCAUUGUGUGGUUAUACUACAGUUUUUUAUCCCUUCACCUUUUGAUGAACCUUUGGGUUUUUGGGUUUUUUUGCUACUGUGACUAAAGCUUCUAGAAACAUUUUGUGAAAGUCUUUUUGUGGACAUUUUUCAUUUCUUUUGGUAAAUACCUAGGAGUGGAAUCAUUGUGUCAUAUAGUGAGGACACAUGUAACUUUCCAAGAAAUUACCAAACUUUUUCCCAAUGCAGUUAACGUUUUAUACGUCCACUAGCACUGUAGACGAGUUCGAGUUCUUCCACAUCCUCAACUACAACACUUGGUUUUGGUAGUCCUUUGGUUUUUAUCAUUCCACUGAGUACGAAUUGGUACUUUAUUGUAGAUACACAUUUCCCAGAUGACUGAAGAUGUUGAGCUGCCUUUCCUGUGCUUACGGGCCAUUUAUGUAUCUCCUUGUAUAGCGUCUAGAUCAUUAGCCCAUUUUAAAAAUUGGAUUGCUAUAUUAUUGAGUUCUCUUUAUAUUUCUUGAAUGUAAAUCCUUUGUACACACAUACAGACACACACACACUCACACACACACACACACACACACACACACACACACACACUCACACACCCGAGUCUGGCUUGCCUUUUCACUUAAUGAUUUUGAGGAACAGAAAUUUUAAAUUUUAAUGAAUUUAAUUUAUCAGUUUACUUUUUGUUUAUUGAAUCUUGCCUUUAUUGAACUCUUUUUUUGCUCUGGGGCAGUGAAGAUUUUCUCCUAGAAAUUUAUAGACUUAGGUCUAUGAUUUUGAGUUAUUUUUGUGUAUCUUGUGAUGUAUUUUUUAAGGUUAAUUUUUUCCAGUUUUUAAAUUUUUACCCAGUUAUUCCAGCACUAUCAUUGAAAACAUCAUUUUCCCCCCAUUUCAUUGCCUUGACACUUUUGUUAAAAAUCGUUUGGCUAUCCACACAGAUACAUUCAUAUGCAUGUACCUACAUACAUGAGUACAUGAGUUUGUUUCUGUACUCUGUUCCAUUGAUUUAUGUAUCUCUUCUUAUACCAUUACUAUACUGUUUAUAUUAUCACAGCUCUAAAGUAAAUUUUGAAAUUGGGUGGUGUAAGUUCUCCCAACUUUAUUCUUUUUGAAUACAUUGUUUGGGUUAUUCUAGAUUCUUCAUUUCCAGAUAAAUUUUAAAGCCAGUCUGUCAGUUUCUACCAAAACGGCCUGCUAGGGUUUUGACUGGAAUUGUUUGUAACUGUAGAUAAGUUUGGGGAGAAUUAUAUUGAUCUUUUUAAAGUUAGCUUUUACUUGUUUUCUGUUUUUGUUUUUACUUUUCAUUAUUUUCUUCUACUUAAUUUUGGUUGAAUAUACUCUUUUACAGUUUAAGAUAGACCUUAGAUUAAUGCUUUUAGACCUUUUUUUUAUUUUAAUGUAAGCAUCUAAAGCCAUAAAAAGCUUUCUGAGCACUGCCUUCAUUCCAUCCUAUACAUCAUGUGUUUCCAUUUUCGUUCAGUUUUAAAUAUUUUCCAAUUUCCUUUGUGAUUUCUUCUUUGCCCCACGAUUAUUAAGAAACGUAAUAUUGGGGUGCCUGGGUGGCUCAGUCGGUUGAGCAUCCAACUUCGGCUCAGGUCAUGAUCUCACGGUUCAUGAGUUUGAGCCCCGCAUAGGGCUCUGUGCUAACAGCUCGGAGUCUGGAGCCUGCUUCUAAUUCUGUGUGUGUCUCUCUGCUCUCCCCCGACUGGUACUCUGUCUCUGUGUCUCUCAAAAGUAAAUAAACAUUAAAAAUUUUUUUUUAAAUGUAUUAUUUAAUUUCCAAACUUGAGGAUUUUUCCAGCUCUCUUUCUAUAUUGACUUACAGUUAUGUGAUUCUAAUUUUUGAAGACUUAUUUUGGAGUUCGCAUAUGGUCCAUCUUGGUGAAUGUUCCAUGUGCACUUGAAAGAACAUGUAUUCUUCUGUUGGGUAGAAUGUUUCAUAAAUGCCAAUUAGAUCUGUUUAGUUGAUAGUAUUGGUUUCAUUUUACUAGUUUUCUGCCUAUUUGUUCUAUCAGUUACUGAGAGAAGUUUUGAAAGCUCCAAAUAAUUGUAGAUUUAUCUAUUUUUCUUUAUUUCUGUUUCUAUUUUAUCUCUUUUGUUGGUUUAUUAGGUAUCCUCCCCCUUUUGUGUUGCAUUGGGAUUUACGUUAUGAUUUUUUAUAUUGUACUACUUUAUAUUUAAUGUAAAAUUUUAAGCAGUAUAAUUUCAUUUUCCUUUCCUUUUGUUUAUACUGUUAAUGUCAAACACUUUCUGUGUUUUAUUUUGUUGUGAAGUUUACUUUUUUAGUAAUCUCUACACCCGAUGUGGGACUCAAACUCAUGACCCCAAGAUCAAGAGUUGCAUGUUCUGAACCAGCUAAGUGCCAUCCCCCUCCUUUUUUUCCCCUUUAUUUGUUUUAAACCCUAGACCACAUGUUAUUUUUGUUUAAAGGUUAGUCAACCUUUAAGGAAAUUUAAAAACAAGGAGAAAAAAUUUAUUUUGUAUUUACUUAAAUUUUUUUCUUUUCUGGCAUUCCUCAUCUCUUUGUGUAGUUCCAGUUUUCUGUGUAUUACCUUUGUCUUUUUUUUCCAGCUUCAGGAACUUCCUUUUUAAUAUUCCUUACAGAAUUGAUUUGCCGACAUCAAGUUUCCUCGGCUUUUGUGUUUGUGAAAAUGACAUCAUUUCACCUUUAGUUUCAAAGGAUAUUUGUGCUAGAUAGGUAGUUACAGGUUUGACAGGCCUUCUCCACCCCCCCUCCCCAAUAUUUUGAAGAUGUUAUUCUAUUAUCUUCUGGCUUACAUUUUUUUCUGAUAAGAAUUUGGGCAUUAUUCUUAUCCUUAUUCCUCCUUAAAUGAUGUAUUUUUUUCUCUGCCUGCUCUGAAAAUUUUCUCUUUAUCAUUGAAUUUCAGCCAUUUGAUUACAGUGCUUUUGUAUGGUCUUCUUUUGUGUUUAAAUGCUUAAGGUUUGUUGAGCUUCUUAGAUCUGUGGGUUUAUAACUUCAAUCAAAUUUGAAAAAUAUUCUGUCAUUUCUUCAAAUAUUUUUUAUAUAAUUUAUAUGAGCCAGAUUUGAUAUAAACUCUUAAUUUCUUGGGGUCUGUUGUCCAGUGAACUGAUUUUGUUAAUAUAUUAUCAAGUUGUAGGGGCGCCUGGGUGGCUCAGUUGGUUGGGUGGCUGACUUCGGCUCAGGUCAUGAUCUCACGGUCCAUGAGUUGAAGCCCCGCGUCAGGCUCUGUGCUGACAGCUCAGAGCCCGGAGGCUGUUUCAGAUUCUGUGUCUCCCUCUCUCUCUCUCUGACCCUCCCCCGUUCAUGCUCUGUCUCUCUCUGUCUCAAAAAUAAAUAAACGUUAAAAAAAAAAAUAUAUAUAUAUAUAUAUAUUAUCAAGUUGUAAAUGUUACUGUACAUUUAGCAACUUGUUUAGCAAAGAACUUAAGAACUGGAUUUUGAGUAAUGUAGGAAUAAUAGAGAGGCCAGGACAUAUCCUUGAUUUUUAUAUUUUAGAAGAGCAGGAUAGGAGAGUAUAAUAAAAUUUGUUUGAUCUUACUUUAUGUUUGAUAUUAUCUAAAUUGUAUGGACCGAAGAUUUGUCCAUGAAGUUGUCCCCUCCCCUUCUUUUUCAAUCAUAUAUUCAGAAACUUGUUCUAUGAGUAACUUUGGCCCUAAGCAUAAGGAAUAUUGUUAGCAGUGAUGACUUAGGCUCACUCCCAGGAACAUUCUCCGGUUGCCACUGAAGUCUGUGUGCAUUCAUUUCUCGUGUAUAAUUCAUGCAAGAAAAUAUAGUAAACCUGUGUUAUCUGGAAGUUGUCUUACUGAUCAGAAUUCUCUAAAAAUUGAGGUUUUUAUUUUU